Molecule: long non-coding RNA, 312 nt
Organism: Manis pentadactyla (Chinese pangolin)
Lineage: Eukaryota; Metazoa; Chordata; Mammalia; Pholidota; Manidae
Exons: 2
Source: RefSeq, a predicted model, not a curated record
ACUUUAUUGAAAUACAAUUUAUUACAGAAUUCACCCAUUUGAAGAGUACAAUUUAAUGGUUUUUAGCACAGAGAGCUGUGCUGUUAUAUACUUGCUAAAACUAGUAUUUUAAAUUUCUUAAAAUUUGUAAUUGUUUUUUACUAUCCCUUUAUUCUUACUUCUUUAACUUAUUUAUAAAGUGACUUAAAAUAUGAAAGGUGACUAAUAGACCCAGAUUGCAUUGUGCAAGUCUAGUCACACCUCCACUGUGUAAGCAAAAGGGGCCAGGAUCUUCUCACCUUCUGCAGCUGGGUCAGACACCAGCAUGAGCUA